RNAcentral lists this ribosomal RNA (472 nucleotides) under uncultured bacterium. RNAcentral's name for it is "partial 16S ribosomal RNA". It matches the Rfam family "Bacterial small subunit ribosomal RNA", at positions 28 to 523 of the family's 1533-position model. The record is from RNAcentral.
GACGAACGCUGGCGCCGUGCUUAACACAUGCAAGUCGAGCGAGAAACCUUCGGGUUUCUAGCGGCGGACGUGUGAGUAACACGUUGGUAACCUGCCUCAAAGAGGGGGAUAGCCUUCCGAAAGGCAGCUUAAUACCGCAUAAUAUUACAGUUUCGCAUGAAGCAGUAAUUAAAGGAGUAAUCCGCUUUGAGAUGGACCCGCGGCGCAUUAGCUAGUUGGAGAGGUAACGGCUCACCAAGGCAACGAUGCGUAGCCGACCUGAGAGGGUGAUCGCCCACAUUGGAACUGAGACACGGUCCAGACUCCUACGGGAGGCAGCAGUGGGGAAUAUUGCACAAUGGGCGAAAGCCUGAUGCAGCAACGCCGCGUGAGUGAUGAAGGUCUUCGGAUUGUAAAGCUCUGUCUUUUGGGACGAUAAUGACGGUACCAAAGGAGGAAGCCACGGCUAACUACGUGCCAGCCGCCGCAGUAA